UGGUCUAGGAUGUAAUUUGUUUGACGUAUUGCUGCCAUUAUGCGUCUGAGUCCCUCAGAGGCACGGGGUAGGGGAAGAAAGUUUUCCCCGGUGAGUUCAGUACAGAUGUGACCACAGGAGGGUGCACCUGAGCUGCCGCAGACCAGGCGGAGGGUCCAUGGUAGAGCAUCUGCAUGAGCAGGUCUGGCAGAAGCACAGUCGUCUUCUUAUUGGCUGGUGGACACGUGGGAAACCACUCUGACUGAUGCAGGAAAGAAGGGCGGGCCGGUACUAGAAGUAGCUGUGCUGGCUGGAGGUGGCAAUUCUAAAAGUGAUUGUAAUUGUAAUUGGGAGGAACCAUGAGGACAUCCGAGGGGGCUUUCAUCACGCUCUUGUGGCUGCCGCUGCACUGGCUCAGCCGAGGAGAGAAUGUGGAGCAGAGUCCAUCCACCCUGAGUGUCCAGGAGGGAAACAGCUCUGUUAUCACCUGUAGUUACUCAGACAGUGCCUCAGACUACUUCCCUUGGUAUAAGCAAGAACUUGGAAAAGGUCCCCAGCUCAUUAUAGACAUUCGUUCAAGUGUGGCCAAAAAAGAAGACCAAAGACUCACUGUUUUACUGAAUAAGACGGCCAAGCAUCUGUCCCUGCACAUCGCAGCCACCCAGCCUGCAGACUCAGCUGUCUACUUCUGUGCAGCAAGUGCACACUGCGUCCCAGACACCUGCUGCCUGCACCCAAACCUGUGACUGGGCAGUCCCUGUCCUUUGACACAGAACUUCAAGUAGAUCGUUUGUGCUAUUGUUUGUCUGCAGGCAGAAGCUAAUGUGUUAGACAUUAAAGCAUAACUUAAGACAACUGGGAUCGAGAUGACCCAGACAGGGUUAGAACAUUUUGUUGAAUCAUUGCUGCUUAUUGGAUUUUUGAAGGGAGUUAGUAAGGUUUUAUUUUGCAAUUCAGGUUUAAAGCUGAUUUACAUUUGCUGUUCAGACUCCUGACAUACAAACAACUUCUUGGUAAAUUGUCACAUUCCUGUCAUGCAUUAGCUUUCAACUCUUAUCUUUCCAGUACUGCAGAUGUUGCUUUUGUUCUGUUAUAAACCAUUGUGUGCUAAAUAUAGAAAAUAUGUAAAAAGCAAAGUGUGAAAUUGAUUAAUUGUGUACCCAGCUAAUUUAUUAUCAAUGUUUCAUUUACUCUUUUCUUAAAUCCUAAUGUAAUUUGGAUUCUGAUUUUUUCCACUCAAUGUUAUAUCCUGAAUUGAGCAUUCUCCUCUAACACCUGAGUUUUAAUAGCUCCACGAGAGAUUUUCAAGGGUCACACUUAUAAUUUUAGCUUCCUUACUCUUCUCUCUUUCUGGCAUAUUUGACAGUCCUUUCUGUGUGUUCUGAUUAUUUUCUUGUUGAGAUAAUGUGACUUGGGAUUUUCUUGAGAGCCCAGUGAUGGUAUGCAUUUUAUGUGUGUUUGAGGGAAAUUAAAAGCAGAAGUGUUUUAGUCAAGAAUUUGAGUGGAGAAUUAGACUCUUCAAAAUUUUGUUAGUAUGUGUUUAUAUCUAUACUCAAAUAAUUUAGAAGGGAAAGUUGUAUCUUUUAAUAAUUUUUAUAUAGCACAAACUUUUUUACAUAGUUGAUCAUCAGUAGAUGUUUAUUAAUGAAAGAAGGAAAAGGUGAAUUCUGCUAUUUAUUUAGAAUUUUUAUGUAAGCUUUGUGAUUACAUUAAAUUUAUAACUUGUGAAGAAUAAACUAAAAGUCUUUGGUUAUUGAAGAAUAUAGUAUUUACCUGUUUAUCUAUGUCUUUUUC
Neofelis nebulosa (Clouded leopard) is the source of this 1773-nucleotide non-coding RNA. The record is from the annotation of a RefSeq genome assembly. Lineage: Eukaryota; Metazoa; Chordata; Mammalia; Carnivora; Felidae.